UUGUCAAGGUAACCAGAGCCUCCUUUUUCUUGGUAACUUGAACCUGCCAAACCAAACGAGACACCUCACACGCUAGCUAAUCAGCCACCUGCCACUGAGUGAGACAGCUCUCUGUGGAUUGGGUAGCCACAGGCCCGGCUUCUCCUCAUCUUCUCUGCCUUCCAACCUUCUCUGGUUGAGCCUGUAUUGAGAGAAAACACUCCAUUGUCGCUUUCACGAGGUGGCAAAGCUGGAUUAUGUCUUUAAGCUCUUAGGGAAAGAACACGACUAUUUAAGACGUUUGCCUGGGCUACGUGGCAAAUGCCAAUCUGUACACUUGCCCUCUGCCCUGAGAGGACUUUAUUUUUUUUUUAUUUAUUUUUUUAUUUUUUUUCCUGAGAGGACUUUAGAAAAAAAAAUGUGGGAAUACGUAUAUGGCUUUUUCCCAACUGCUGUUGAUGUUGACAUAAUGCAAGGCCAGGCCACGUGAAAGUUGAGACUCUGGUUUUGUGUUGCAUCUUGGGAAAAUUCAGGUCGAAACAAAGAAGAAUGUUCAUCAAGUGAACAUGUUUAUCCAGAGCCCCCAGCGCUCAGGGACUCUGCUGGCUCCUGCCUGGGACACAGGGCUGAAGACACCUUAGUCUCUACGCUCACCGUUUACGGAUGACUGGACGGCCUAAGACAAAAAACACAACCAUGAGUCAAGGGCUCCUCAUUGACCAAACCCAACUUGAAGCCAAAGGUCACGAGGGCCCAUGGUGUGGUCCAUACAAGUCCAGCUCCCAGGAGAAACCAGGGUGGAGAAGGGAAGAAAGUGGAUCUGGAGGCGACUGGCCGUGCAGGCUGUGAGUGUGAGGAGGCCACACCCAAGCCAAGUCCGGUUCCGACAGGAUGGUGGAAGAGGGGAGUUUCCUGUGGCGUGAACAGAAAUUCUCCAGAAGCUGGAUAAAUUGCCCUAGGUGUACAUUUGCCAACAAUACCAUUACUUAUUAAAGAAAACAUUUUCAC
Long non-coding RNA from Canis lupus familiaris (dog), 987 nucleotides. RefSeq lists it as uncharacterized. The transcript is spliced from 3 exons. NCBI's taxonomy places the organism in Eukaryota, Metazoa, Chordata, Mammalia, Carnivora, Canidae. The record is from RefSeq and is a predicted model, not a curated record.